CACUCCUGCAGGAGGCAGCAGUGGGGAAUUUUGGACAAUGGGCGAAAGCCUGAUCCAGCAAUGCCGCGUGAGUGAAGAAGGCCUUCGGGUUGUAAAGCUCUUUUGUCAGGGGAGAAACGGUGAAAGCUAAUAUCUUUUGCUAAUGACGGUACCUGAAGAAUAAGCACCGGCUAACUACGUGCCAGCAGCCGCGGUAAUACGUAGGGUGCAAGCGUUAAUCGGAAUUACUGGGCGUAAAGCGUGCGCAGGCGGUUUUGUAAGUCUGAUGUGAAAUCCCCGGGCUCAACCUGGGAAUUGCAUUGGAGACUGCAAGGCUAGAAUCUGGCAGAGGGGGGUAGAAUUCCACGUGUAGCAGUGAAAUGCGUAGAUAUGUGGAGGAACACCGAUGGCGAAGGCAGCCCCCUGGGUCAAGAUUGACGCUCAUGCACGAAAGCGUGGGGAGCAAACAGGAUUAGAAACCCCAGUAGUCCCA
RNAcentral lists this ribosomal RNA (472 nucleotides) under uncultured organism. RNAcentral describes it as "partial 16S ribosomal RNA". It matches the Rfam family "Bacterial small subunit ribosomal RNA", at positions 334 to 797 of the family's 1533-position model. The record is from RNAcentral.